Molecule: long non-coding RNA, 265 nt
Organism: Ipomoea nil (Japanese morning glory)
Lineage: Eukaryota; Viridiplantae; Streptophyta; Magnoliopsida; Solanales; Convolvulaceae
Exons: 3
Source: RefSeq, a predicted model, not a curated record
CAAAUCAUGUUGAAGAGUUUAUUACCGAAAUGGUCCCUCGACUAUUGCGAAAUUAUUAAUUUGGUCCUUGUCAAUUUUUCGUGCCUAAUUAAGUCCUCCACUUUGAAAAUGUUAACAAAUUUGGUCCUCCAUUUAUUUUGCUGUUGCACAUCCGUUAACUCGGGACCAAGUUGGUAAUUUUGCUAUAAUCAAGAGAUCAUUUCGGUCAUCAUAUGCACCAUUUUUUUCGAAAGUUAAUUACUAAAAUGGUCCAUUGACUAUAGCA